CUACAUGGUCAUACCGCCUUUGCUCUGCCCAAUCCCGUCAGACCUUGGAAGCUAAGCAGGGAAGGGCCUGGUCGGUACUUGGAUGGGAGACUGCUUGGGAACACCAGGAAGCCUAGUGAA
This 120-nucleotide ribosomal RNA is filed under the name Neogobius melanostomus (round goby). Lineage: Eukaryota; Metazoa; Chordata; Actinopteri; Gobiiformes; Gobiidae. The record is from RNAcentral.